ACAUUCAUGAUGUUACGUCUAAACUGAGAGGAGUAAUUGCUGGGAUGCCUGUGGAAAUGACCACGGAAGAAGUUAAGGCUUCCCUGAAAGGAGGAAAAGUUAUGGAAGCCAAAAGGAUGAAAAGCAAAAAGAGUGGCGGUCGAGUGGACACUACAACUGUACUGUUACACAUUGAGGGGAACCUGACGAAUAGGGUGCAGCUAGGAUCACUACUCAGUUAUCCGGUUAGCUAAAGCAGCCUAACGCUUCGAAGACACCGGCUGCGAAUUGCAUCACUGCUGCAUAACAUUUUGCGAGGCAAUGCUGCAUAACAUUUUGCGCAGCUAGGCAACUAUACUGAUGCAGGUACCUUUUGCAAAUGGUCGCAUGCGGUUGGACACAUGGAGGAGAGAAUCAUUUUCGCAGUAUCCUCAAAACCGUGUCUUUUUGACACAACUGCUGACAGCUACAGGGACAUAAACACAAAAAAAUGCUGAUUGGAGACAAGGGUCCACGAUAGUAGAAUUGCCAGGUCAGUUUAGUAGUGAGCUUGUGCUAGAUGUGGCUAGUUAGCGUUAGCUAGCUUGCUAACCUAGCCAAUGAAGUGGGUGUGUAAAAUAAAUAGUCAAAUAAAUUAUGCUAGUUACUACCCCUGAUAACUUUACCAAAUAAUCAUGUUUGAAAGAGUGUGAGUGUGUAUGCUAGAUAAAUAGUAAUAGAAAUAGUAGAUACUACUGUACCCCUGAUAAUUUGGUCAGAUAACCGUGUGUGUGUGUGUCUAUGUGUACAGUAGGUGACAUGUCCAUGAUAGCUAUCUAAUAACUAUAGUUAUGCUAGGUAAUGGUUUGGCUUAUCAUGUUCAUGUCUAUUGUUAGAGUUGCGUAAAUUCGAAUCUGGUAUCACGAUAAAUUUAACAAUGAAUCACCGAUUUUAUACUAUAUAUUUUUUAUUUGCUCAGUAAUAAAUGGCUAAUGCAACUAUCGCUCACUGUAAUACCAUGCAGGGCAGAACAGAGAACUGACAAGAUGUAUGUAAACAGUAUUCUUUAUACUGUGAUAGACAGUUCCAACCCGUCUGUUGGCCUAUCACAGUAGGGACUGGGCGUGGUUUAAACUUGCUCAGCCUAUUGCAGGCGCUCAGGCGGGUCCCCGCCUCUUGGCGCUUCUGUUGAUAGAUGUAACUGUUGCUGUGAAGAACAUCCAUGCGCUCAUGCUCCAUACCGUUAUCUCGCACCUGGCUCCUGUUAUCUAACAAAAGACCGCUUGUUCUCGCAACACCCCAUGCUACUCUGUAUUUUUCCAUCAUGACAAAGGCCCAUGGCCCUGAAGCUUUUAACAAUGUUUCAAGUUAGCUAUGUUGCAUAACACAUACAUACAUCCACACAAGCCAACAGCAGAUAAUAUUCAAUCAUAUAUAUGGUAAUGGCUAUAAUGUAAAACACAGGAUCCAACACUAUGUAGAAGAAGAGAAAGGAGGAAGUGGAGAGGACUCAGGGACAGGUAUCAGAGAGAGAGAAGGGCAGAGAAAGAGAAGAAGAGGUCUGGGUCAGCAGCUUCAGGUCAGCAGCCUUGGCACUUCUGCCACAUUCUUUAUUUUCUGGAUCCAUGUAUUGUGCCUAGGACAACGAGUGGCCAUUUAACAGCUAGACCCACUACUACUUCAUCCACAAGUGUUGUCCCCACCGGUGCAUCAAGACCCUCAAUGUCACCUUCAAAUGCGACCAUCACCUCCACCGGUGGAGUGAGACCUUCUACAACAUCAUCCACGAGUAUGACCAUGGAAGAUGAUGAAAUGGAGGAAGCACCUCUGGAUCUAGGACCACCUGAGAUUAUUAUGAACCUCACGGAAGUGACCACCGAGGACCUCGUUGAACAGGAUGUGGCCGUGGAGAGAAACAGAGAGAGAAACGAAGAGGAACAACGUCACACCAGUCCCCAGAUCCACUCAACUCAUUUCAGCAGAGGCUCCUCCAAGCCGUUGAGAGGGAUGCUGCCCAACCUGAUGCUCAUAGGAAGGAGAAUGAAGAGACCCUCUUUGCCAUGAGCCUGGUGCCAACACUGAAGAGGCUGCCUCAGCAAAGAAAAGCAGCAGUCAAGGUUAAAAUGUAUCAGCUGCUUUUCGAAGCCGAGUUCAAUGAAAUGGAGUCAAUUUAGCCAACCAGCUCACAGGAAAGACAGGAAGAGGAGAGGAGUUGCCGGGGCCGACCAGCUCACAGGAAGAGGAGUUGUCUGGUUGUUGUUUUGACCUCCCUCGUUGUACCUUUCUUUUCACACACAUCAGUUCUGUUUAAAUUCAGUCAAUUCAUUUGUUUAUAAAGUCUUAGGAUAGCAUUCGUUAUUAGUGUUACAUAGAUUUCUGAAUUGAAACUCAUACGAAGUUUUCACAGAUGCUCUUGGUCUCUUACAAGACUAAAGGUCAAUAUAUUUCUUUCAUUUAAAACCACUUGAAAACCAGGGUGUUGAAACUUUUUGUGAAGUUCUGUUCCAUCGACUGGUCCGUGACAUCCAGGGGCCAUUUGUUUGUUUAGCUGUGUUAUGGCUACAUAUUAUUCCCUUUUUCUCAGAGACAGAGACACACACACACCUCUUCGUACUUCAGAUCUCCAGUGCCCUGCCCUCUCUCUCUUUAUGGCCAUGUCUGAAGUUCCCCUACUACGUCUAGGCUUUAUGAGUAGUCCCUGUAUCGGUCUGCAGUUGUGCCAAAAAUACAUGCUCUUGCUGUUCUCUUACAGGUUACAGGCUACACAUUCAUUUUUUAAAUAUAUUUUUUUACACGCACACACACACACCUCUUUCAAUAGUUUAAUUUUUGUAAACAUUUUUACAGCACACAUACCUGUCAUGUUCUUUCCUGUACUUGAAUACUUAUUCAAUUAUAAUGUUUUCAUAGUCAGUUGUUUCAGUUGUUUAUUAAUAUCUCAUUUAGACUUAAUCUGCUUAUUUCUUCCCUACACCUUUGCUGAUCUAAGACAAGAUGAAAGUAAAAACACGUUCUCUUCCUAA
Oncorhynchus nerka (sockeye salmon) is the source of this 2981-nucleotide long non-coding RNA. RefSeq lists it as uncharacterized. Lineage: Eukaryota; Metazoa; Chordata; Actinopteri; Salmoniformes; Salmonidae. The record is from RefSeq and is a predicted model, not a curated record. The transcript has 2 exons.